AUUGAACGCUGGCGGCAUGCCUUACACAUGCAAGUCGAACGGCAGCAUAGGAGCUUGCUCCUGAUGGCGAGUGGCGAACGGGUGAGUAAUAUACCGGAACGUGCCCUAGAGUGGGGGAUAACUAGUCGAAAGACUAGCUAAUACCGCAUACGAUCUACGGAUGAAAGUGGGGGAUCGCAAGACCUCAUGCUCCUGGAGCGGCCGAUAUCUGAUUAGCCAGUUGGUGGGGUAAAAGCUCACCAAGGCGACGAUCAGUAGCUGGUCUGAGAGGACGACCAGCCACACUGGGACUGAGACACGGCCCAGACUCCUACGGGAGGCAGCAGUGGGGAAUUUUGGACAAUGGGGGCAACCCUGAUCCAGCAAUGCCGCGUGAGUGAAGAAGGCCUUCGGGUUGUAAAGCUCUUUUGUCAGGGAAGAAACGGUUCUGGAUAAUACCUGGGACUAAUGACGGUACCUGAAGAAUAAGCACCGGCUAACUACGUGCCAGCCGCCGCCGUAA
This 502-nucleotide ribosomal RNA is filed under the name uncultured bacterium. Its description in RNAcentral is "partial 16S ribosomal RNA". It matches the Rfam family "Bacterial small subunit ribosomal RNA", at positions 30 to 523 of the family's 1533-position model. The record is from RNAcentral.